Non-coding RNA from Cardiobacterium valvarum F0432, 102 nucleotides. The record is from Rfam. NCBI's taxonomy places the organism in Bacteria, Pseudomonadati, Pseudomonadota, Gammaproteobacteria, Cardiobacteriales, Cardiobacteriaceae.
CGAUCGCACAGCACCCCUUGGGGUGUCAAACUCGUCUGUAACCCGGCAACGUCAUCCUCGCGAUGGCGUGACGACCCAAUCCGGCAGCCAUGCUGCCGUCAU